GCCUGGCUGGCUCAGUCAGUGGAGUGUCUGACUCUUGAUCUCAAGGUUGUGAGUUCAAGUCCCAUGUUGGGUA
RNAcentral lists this transfer RNA (73 nucleotides) under Canis lupus familiaris (dog). It matches the Rfam family "tRNA". Rfam says of the family: Transfer RNA (tRNA) molecules are approximately 80 nucleotides in length. Their secondary structure includes four short double-helical elements and three loops (D, anti-codon, and T loops). Lineage: Eukaryota; Metazoa; Chordata; Mammalia; Carnivora; Canidae. The record is from Rfam by way of RNAcentral. RNAcentral also lists the same sequence under 2 other names.